UAUGGACUAGUUUUGCAGGUGCUCUUCACUGGCAUCAAGUGUUCUAGGGGAUUGAUCGCAACAGAUUGACGCACCAAGAAGGAGGGCAAACAAACCCUGAAAGAAUAAUGGCAAGAGGAAAAGUCUAGAAAAUAUCCAUCAAUAAUGACUAGUGAUCUUCUCAUGGGAAGAGGCUAUCUAAGCCAGAACGUAGAGCCCCAUGCUCCAUAAGAACAAUCAAGAGAGCCCCACC
This 232-nucleotide long non-coding RNA is filed under the name Elaeis guineensis (African oil palm). RNAcentral's name for it is "long non-coding RNA (EGUI_LNC023867)". Lineage: Eukaryota; Viridiplantae; Streptophyta; Magnoliopsida; Arecales; Arecaceae. The record is from RNAcentral.